CUGCGAAUGGCUCAUUAUAUAAGUUAUCGUUUAUUUGAUAGUAUCUUGCUACUUGGAUAACCGUGGUAAUUCUAGAGCUAAUACAUGCUAAAAAUCCCGACUUCGGAAGGGAUGUAUUUAUUAGAUUAAAAACCAAUGCCCUCUGGGCUCUCUUGGUGAAUCAUGAUAACUUCUCGAAUCGCAGGGCCUUGCGCCGGCGAUGGUUCAUUCAAAUUUCUUCCCUAUCAACUUUCGAUGUUUGGGUAGUGGCCAAACAUGGUUGCAACGGGUAACGGAGGGUUAGGGCUCGACCCCGGAGAAGGAGCCUGAGAAACGGCUACUACAUCCAAGGAAGGCAGCAGGCGCGCAAAUUACCCAAUCCCGAUCCGGGGAGGUAGUGACAAUAAAUACUGAUACAGGGCUCUUUUGGGUCUUGUAAUUGGAAUGAGUACAAUUUAAAUCCCUUAACGAGGAACAAUUGGAGGGCAAGUCUGGUGCCAGCAGCCGCGGUAAUUCCAGCUCCAAUAGCGUAUAUUAAAGUUGUUGUGGUUAAAAAGCUCGUAGUUGAACCUUGGGCCUGGCUGGCCGGUCCGCCUCACCGCGUGCACUGGUCCGGCCGGGCCUUUCCCUCUGUGGAACCCCAUGCCCUUCACUGGGUGUGGCGGGGAAACAGGACUUUUACUUUGAAAAAAUUAGAGUGCUCCAGGCAGGCCUAUGCUCGAAUACAUUAGCAUGGAAUAAUGAAAUAGGACGUGCGGUUCUAUUUUGUUGGUUUCUAGGACCGCCGUAAUGAUUAAUAGGGACAGUCGGGGGCAUCAGUAUUCAAUUGUCAGAGGUGAAAUUCUUGGAUUUAUUGAAGACUAACUACUGCGAAAGCAUUUGCCAAGGAUGUUUUCAUUAAUCAGGAACGAAAGUUAGGGGAUCGAAGACGAUCAGAUACCGUCGUAGUCUUAACCAUAAACUAUGCCGACUAGGGAUCGGACGAUGUUAUUUUUUGACUCGUUCGGCACCUUACGAGAAAUCAAAGUGCUUGGGCUCCAGGGGGAGUAUGGUCGCAAGGCUGAAACUUAAAGAAAUUGACGGAAGGGCACCACCAGGGGUAAACCUGACCUGUGAAGCCGCAGUCAACUCUGCUCCAGAAAGCCGCCCGAAAGGGUCGGUGGUGUUCCUAGGGGAGAGCUCUCCCCUAAACUAAUGGCUAGUCCUGCCGCCCGCGGCAGGGCGACACCCUCAAACUGACGGGGAACUCCUAAAGCCCUCGCUCCGGACAGGCGUCGGGAAACCGACGGCCUGCUCACCAGGCUAACGACCUCGGGUAUCGGAAGCAACGCGAGAGGAUGCUACAAUGGACAAUCCGCAGCCAAGCCCCUACGGUGCGGCCUCUACGGGGGUCGCAUACGGGGAAGGUUCAGAGACUUGACGGGGGUGGGUGGCGCGGGCUCUUGGGGUGCAAGCCGCGUGCUUGCUUGCAGGCCCAGGCGCCCGCCGCUGCCUAAGAUAAAGUCCGGGCGUGCGCGAAAGCGUGCGCGGCAACCACGCAACCCGCCGUUUCCAGCGGGUGCGAGGCCCCAGAAGUAAAAACAACCGGGAGCCUGCGGCUUAAUUUGACUCAACACGGGGAAACUCACCAGGUCCAGACACAAUGAGGAUUGACAGAUUGAGAGCUCUUUCUUGAUUUUGUGGGUGGUGGUGCAUGGCCGUUCUUAGUUGGUGGAGUGAUUUGUCUGCUUAAUUGCGAUAACGAACGAGACCUUAACCUGCUAAAUAGCCCGUAUUGCUUUGGCAGUACGCCGGCUCUUAGA
This 1781-nucleotide ribosomal RNA is filed under the name Ustilaginoidea virens. RNAcentral's name for it is "bacterial SSU rRNA". It matches the Rfam family "Eukaryotic small subunit ribosomal RNA", at positions 87 to 1415 of the family's 1831-position model. Lineage: Eukaryota; Fungi; Ascomycota; Sordariomycetes; Hypocreales; Clavicipitaceae. The record is from RNAcentral.